Paramuricea clavata is the source of this 252-nucleotide non-coding RNA. The record is from the annotation of a GenBank genome assembly. NCBI's taxonomy places the organism in Eukaryota, Metazoa, Cnidaria, Anthozoa, Malacalcyonacea, Plexauridae.
CUUUCGUACAACCGGCCCCAGAAAAUCUAGACGUGGAAAACACAGGAAAAUACUUUAAACUACCUAUAACUAACAAAAACUAUUGUAGCUAAACAUUAAAAAGGUCUUUUCUACUCUCCCACGAUGUCUGCAAGAUCCAUACAGACAGCAGAUUUCCAAACAACAAACCCGGAGUCGGAUUGUGUCCGAUGAUCGAUCACGGAGUUCAUCGGUUGUCUUCUACACAAAUUUAACAAAUACAAAUCAAUCGAG